AUUCCAGCUCCAAUAGCGUAUAUUUAAGUUGUUGCAGUUAAAAAGCUCAUAGUUGGAUUUCGGGCGAUGUCGGCCGGUCCGCCGUUGCGGUGUGCACUGGCUGGCGCCGUCUUCUUGUCGAGGAUGCGGUUCUGGCCUUCGUUGGCUGGGGCGUAGAGUCGGCGCGGUUACUUUGAAAAAAUUAGAGUGUUCAAAGCGGGCUAACGCUUGAAUAUAUUAGCAUGGAAUAACACUAUAGGACUCCGAUCCUAUUUUGUUGGUCUUCGGGACUGGAGUAAUGAUUAAGAGGAACAGUUGGGGCAUUCGUAUUUCAUUGUCAGAGGUGAAAUUCUUGGAUUUAUGAAAGACGAACUUCUGCGAAAGCAUUUGCCAAGGAUGUUUUCAUUA
This 387-nucleotide ribosomal RNA is filed under the name Dolichomastix sp. (in: wasps, ants & bees). RNAcentral describes it as "Dolichomastix sp. partial small subunit ribosomal RNA". It matches the Rfam family "Eukaryotic small subunit ribosomal RNA", at positions 582 to 975 of the family's 1831-position model. The record is from RNAcentral. Lineage: Eukaryota; Metazoa; Arthropoda; Insecta; Hymenoptera; Ichneumonidae.